GACGAACGCUGGCGGCGUGCUUAACACAUGCAAGUCGAACGCUGAAGCUCAGCUUUUGUUGGGUGGAUGAGUGGCGAACGGGUGAGUAACACGUGAGUAACCUGCCUCCUUCUUUGGGAUAACGCCCGGAAACGGGUGCUAAUACUGGAUAUUCACUGGUCUUCGCAUGGGGGUUGGUGGAAAGGGUUUUUCUGGUGGGGGAUGGGCUCGCGGCCUAUCAGCUUGUUGGUGGGGUGAUGGCCUACCAAGGCUUUGACGGGUAGCCGGCCUGAGAGGGUGACCGGUCACAUUGGGACUGAGAUACGGCCCAGACUCCUACGGGAGGCAGCAGUGGGGAAUAUUGCACAAUGGGCGCAAGACUGAUGCAGCGACGCCGCGUGAGGGAUGGAGGCCUUCGGGUUGUGAACCUCUUUCGCUCAUGGUCAAGCCGCAACAAUGGUUGUGGUGAGGGUAGUGGGUAAAGAAGCGCCGGCUAACUACGUG
This 483-nucleotide ribosomal RNA is filed under the name uncultured bacterium. RNAcentral's name for it is "partial 16S ribosomal RNA". It matches the Rfam family "Bacterial small subunit ribosomal RNA", at positions 28 to 507 of the family's 1533-position model. The record is from RNAcentral.